This 72-nucleotide transfer RNA is filed under the name Canis lupus familiaris (dog). It matches the Rfam family "tRNA". From Rfam's summary of the family: Transfer RNA (tRNA) molecules are approximately 80 nucleotides in length. Their secondary structure includes four short double-helical elements and three loops (D, anti-codon, and T loops). Further hydrogen bonds mediate the characteristic L-shaped molecular structure. tRNAs have two regions of fundamental functional importance: the anti-codon, which is responsible for specific mRNA codon recognition, and the 3' end, to which the tRNAs corresponding amino acid is attached (by aminoacyl-tRNA synthetases). tRNAs cope with the degeneracy of the genetic code in two manners: having more than one tRNA (with a specific anti-codon) for a particular amino acid; and 'wobble' base-pairing, i.e. permitting non-standard base-pairing at the 3rd anti-codon position. RNAcentral also lists the same sequence under 2 other names. Lineage: Eukaryota; Metazoa; Chordata; Mammalia; Carnivora; Canidae. The record is from Rfam by way of RNAcentral.
ACCUGGCUGGCUCAGUCAGUAGAGCAUGCGACUCUUGAUCUCAGGGUUGGAGUUCAAGUCUCCCACUGGGCC